AGAUGGAUCAUUAACACAUCCUUAUUUACCUAACACACAUUUUAUUUUUAAAACCUCAGCGAUGGAUAUCUCGGCUCUUGUAACGAUGAAGAACGCAGCCAACUGCGAAAAGCACUGCGAAUUGCAGAACACCGUGAGUCAGUAGAUUUUUGAACGCAACCGGCGCCCUCUGGGCAUGUUUGCUUCAGUGCCUCCUUUGCUUCCAGCUGCGAGUGCAGAGCUCUCGCUAAGUUCUCCCGUCCAGGAUCUGGCAGGUUGGAUCAAGGAUCAAAGAGUGCCUGAAGUCAAGCAAGACUACCCGCUGAACUUAAGCAUAUUACUAAGCGGAGGAAAAGAAACUAACAAGGAUUGCCUCAGUAACGGCGAGUGAACCGGCAUCAGCCCAGACUGGAAAUCGCUUCGGCGAGUUGUACAGUUAAGACAUAGACCUUACAUAGCGGCGCAGGUGUAACUCAGCUGGAACGCUGGACCGUAGAGGGUGAUAGUCCCGUGCCACUUGUGCCAAGUGAGAGGUCGUGUUCAACGAGUCGGGUAGCUUGGGAUUGCUGCCCUAAGUGGGAGGUAGACUUCUUCUAAGGCUAAAUACUCACAAGAGACCGAUAGCGAACAAGUACUGUGAAGGAAAGAUGAAAAAGAACUUUGAAAAAAGGGUUAAAAUACUUGAAAUCGCUGAGGAGGAAGCAUUGAGCUCUGCAGCGCCGGCAGUGCAACUAGGGACACGUCCCUGGGGGAGCUGCAGGCACAACUCCGUCUGAGUUCUCGUACUGCGCCUGAAGGCUGUUAGCCCACAGCGCCAGCACAAAGGGCUCAGGCGGAGUAGCGGUGCCCACUGACCCGUCUUGAAACACGGACCAAGGAGUCUAACAUGCGUGCAAGUAGUAGGGUGUAAACCACACUGCGCAACGAAAGUGAGCCUUGCCAAACUAGCAGCAAGGGCCGCGUCAGCGAGCUCAGCACAUAUGUUGGGACCCGAAAGAUGGUGAACUAUGCUUGGGAAAGGCGAAGCCAGGGGAAACUCUGGUGGAGGCUUGUAGAGAUUCUGACGUGCAAAUCGUUCUUCUAACCUGAGUAUAGGGGCGAAAGACUAAUCGAACCAUCUAGUAGCUGGUUCCCUC
This 1115-nucleotide unclassified non-coding RNA is filed under the name uncultured fungus. RNAcentral's name for it is "sequence contains 18S rRNA gene, ITS1, 5.8S rRNA gene, ITS2, 28S rRNA gene". The stretch from base 275 to 1115 matches the Rfam family "Eukaryotic large subunit ribosomal RNA", at positions 1 to 961 of the family's 3401-position model. The record is from RNAcentral. Lineage: Eukaryota; Fungi.